GACCCUGCAGCUCUGAGAGAGGAGCCUUAGCCCUGGGUUCCAAGGCACUUCCACUUGGUGAUCAGCCCUGAACACAGAGGACUCACCAUGGAGUUGGGGCUGAGCUGGGUUUUCCUUGUUGCUAUUUUAAAAGGUGUCCAGUGUGAGGUGCAGUUGGUGGAGUCUGGGGGAGGCUUGGUCCAGCCUGAAGGGUCCCUGAGACUCUCCUGUGCAGCCUCUGGAUUCACCUUUGGUGAUUAUACCAUGAGCUGGGUCCGGCAGGCUCCGGGAAAGGGGCUGGAGUGGGUCUCAUAUAUUAGUAGUGCUAGUAGUUACAUCAUAUACUACGCUGACUCCGUGAAGGGCCGAUUCACCAUCUCCAGAGACAAUGCCAAGAACUCGCUGUCUCUGCAAAUGAACAGCCUGAAAACCGAGGACACGGCCGUGUAUUACUGUGCUAGAGACACAGUGAGGCGAGAUUCCUCUGGGGCAGUUCUCUGGAUUCCUCAUCCUGUUCUUCCUGUGAAGUCUCUGAAGAAGAAACAUUUGUCGGAACAAGAGAAAAAUUUUCUCACACGCACCAAAGGCACAGUCACCCACAGUCACUGA
Molecule: non-coding RNA, 588 nt
Organism: Mandrillus leucophaeus (drill)
Lineage: Eukaryota; Metazoa; Chordata; Mammalia; Primates; Cercopithecidae
Source: the annotation of a RefSeq genome assembly